Molecule: long non-coding RNA, 211 nt
Filed under: Capsicum annuum
Lineage: Eukaryota; Viridiplantae; Streptophyta; Magnoliopsida; Solanales; Solanaceae
Description: long non-coding RNA (CANN_LNC001004)
Source: RNAcentral
GCAUUAUGAACAAUCAUUCUAACAUAUAUAACAUUGUUGGUUAGUUUAAUUAUCUUUGUUGUCGGUCCAUGGGGUUGAUAUUAUGACUACGUCCUUCUGAACCUCUAAUUAACUAUCUAACUUAGACCAAUAACUACAUCAUUAAGUGGGGAUGCGAGAACUAAGUUUAAUGCAUUCAUAUUUUAUCCCGUAAUUGAAGAAAAUAGGGCAC